This 497-nucleotide ribosomal RNA is filed under the name uncultured bacterium. RNAcentral's name for it is "partial 16S ribosomal RNA". It matches the Rfam family "Bacterial small subunit ribosomal RNA", at positions 28 to 507 of the family's 1533-position model. The record is from RNAcentral.
GAUGAACGCUGGCGGCGUGCCUAAUACAUGCAAGUCGAGCGAACGGACGAGAAGCUUGCUUCUCUGAUGUUAGCGGCGGACGGGUGAGUAACACGUGGAUAACCUACCUAUAAGACUGGGAUAACUUCGGGAAACCGGGGCUAAUACCGGAUAAUAUUUUGAACCGCAUGGUUCAAAAGUGAAAGACGGUCUUGCUGUCACUUAUAGAUGGAUCCGCGCUGCAUUAGCUAGUUGGUAAGGUAACGGCUUACCAAGGCAACGAUGCAUAGCCGACCUGAGAGGGUGAUCGGCCACACUGGAACUGAGACACGGUCCAGACCCCUACGGGAGGCAGCAGUAGGGAAUCUUCCGCAAUGGGCGAAAGCCUGACGGAGCAACGCCGCGUGAGUGAUGAAGGUCUUCGGAUCGUAAAACUCUGUUAUUAGGGAAGAACAUAUGUGUAAGUAACUGUGCACAUCUUGACGGUACCUAAUCAGAAAGCCACGGCUAACUACGUG